GACGAACGCUGGCGGCGUGCUUAACACAUGCAAGUCGAACGAAGAGCGAUGGAGGCUUGCUUCUAUCAAUCUUAGUGGCGAACGGGUGAGUAACGCGUAAUCAACCUGCCCUUCAGAGGGGGACAACAGUUGGAAACGACUGCUAAUACCGCAUACGAUCUAAUCUCGGCAUCGAGGAAAGAUGAAAGGUGGCCUCUAUUUAUAAGCUAUCACUGAAGGAGGGGAUUGCGUCUGAUUAGCUAGUUGGAGGGGUAACGGCCCACCAAGGCGAUGAUCAGUAGCCGGUCUGAGAGGAUGAACGGCCACAUUGGGACUGAGACACGGCCCAGACUCCUACGGGAGGCAGCAGUGGGGAAUCUUCCGCAAUGGACGAAAGUCUGACGGAGCAACGCCGCGUGAGUGAUGACGGCCUUCGGGUUGUAAAGCUCUGUUAAUCGGGACGAAAGGCCUUCUUGCGAACAGUUAGAAGGAUUGACGGUACCGGAAUAGAAAGCCACGGCUAACUACGUG
Molecule: ribosomal RNA, 510 nt
Filed under: uncultured bacterium
Lineage: Bacteria
Description: partial 16S ribosomal RNA
Rfam family: Bacterial small subunit ribosomal RNA
Source: RNAcentral